Molecule: ribosomal RNA, 603 nt
Filed under: Staphylococcus aureus
Lineage: Bacteria; Bacillati; Bacillota; Bacilli; Caryophanales; Staphylococcaceae
Description: partial 23S ribosomal RNA
Rfam family: Bacterial large subunit ribosomal RNA
Source: RNAcentral
ACAAGUAGUCAGAGCCCGUUAAUGGGUGAUGGCGUGCCUUUUGUAGAAUGAACCGGCGAGUUACGAUUUGAUGCAAGGUUAAGCAGUAAAUGUGGAGCCGUAGCGAAAGCGAGUCUGAAUAGGGCGUUUAGUAUUUGGUCGUAGACCCGAAACCAGGUGAUCUACCCUUGGUCAGGUUGAAGUUCAGGUAACACUGAAUGGAGGACCGAACCGACUUACGUUGAAAAGUGAGCGGAUGAACUGAGGGUAGCGGAGAAAUUCCAAUCGAACCUGGAGAUAGCUGGUUCUCUCCGAAAUAGCUUUAGGGCUAGCCUCAAGUGAUGAUUAUUGGAGGUAGAGCACUGUUUGGACGAGGGGCCCCUCUCGGGUUACCGAAUUCAGACAAACUCCGAAUGCCAAUUAAUUUAACUUGGGAGUCAGAACAUGGGUGAUAAGGUCCGUGUUCGAAAGGGAAACAGCCCAGACCACCAGCUAAGGUCCCAAAAUAUAUGUUAAGUGGAAAAGGAUGUGGCGUUGCCCAGACAACUAGGAUGUUGGCUUAGAAGCAGCCAUCAUUUAAAGAGUGCGUAAUAGCUCACUAGUCGAGUGACACUGCGCCGAAAA